Long non-coding RNA from Numida meleagris (helmeted guineafowl), 680 nucleotides. RefSeq lists it as uncharacterized. The transcript has 2 exons. Lineage: Eukaryota; Metazoa; Chordata; Aves; Galliformes; Numididae. The record is from RefSeq and is a predicted model, not a curated record.
UUUUUUUUUAUUAUUAUUAUUCCCGAAUGGAUUCGUCUCUUCCGUUCAGGAUUUUAGAAAGAUCGCUCGGGUCCGGACCCCGCGCGUCCCGUGAGCAAAGAGAGGAAAAGGCUGCGCAGGACGCACCGAGGGAUCGGAGCUCUUCCUUCGCCCGUCCGCUGCCCCCUCCCGACCCCCCCAUCCGCGAGGAGGGGGGGGGGGCACGGCCUCCUGGGAAGCAUGUCCCCCCACGGAUCACUGCUCCCCUGUAGGGAAGCGGGACCGCUGCCCCGUGGGAUCACGCUGGGAUGUAGGGGCACAAGGCCACCCCGAUGGGAAGCGGCCGCUCUGCAGCUUCGUGUUUUCUCUGCUGUUCUUCCCAAGGACAGUUGUUCCACAAAGCCCCACAGCUCCCGUGCCGUGGAUUGCCGUGUUCUUGAUUGUUUUCCUCGCUCUCUGUCGUUGCUGUUUGUAGAGGCUUUGAAGAGCGAGGCGGAGGGGACAAGCCUUCCUCAGUAAACUUGCCUUCCCCCUAAGGCAGCUGCAGCCCAGAGAAGCAGGCCCAGCGCCGCAGCUCAGCCUGGGACCGGCGCUGUUUACAAUCCAUCAUUGUUGGUUAAUUGCCGUUUGGUUAAAUAUUUACUUUGGAUUAAGUUCUUUUGUGCUCUUUUCUCACCAAAUAAUAAACAGGGGUGUCUUUG